GUACAUGAUAGGCAUAUUUAUUGAUUGAUAAAGGCUUGGAGGAGAAGCCUGAAAUAGGACUGGCUUCCUGGGUCGCCAAGAGACAUUUUGCUCUUAUUGCAAAACAUAUUUGCACCUCUUUAAUUUCUAAGGCUCUUGGAAUCUUACACUGUUCUCCACCCAGGCUCCCCCUACCCCAGUCAUGUACCCUGUGGGCAGUACCCCUUCGCCAGAAGCCCAGACAACACUUAUCUAUGCAUGACGCCGGUUUUAUUGAUUAUAUGUGGCAAGUGUUUCUUUCUAGCUUGUCUUUAUCUUCCCCUCUAGCAGUUUUUGGGCACCUUUUCUCCAUUAGCAAUUGAUAUGUGUUAUGUGCCUCCAGAAGGCAGGCUCAUUUUAACCUUAGUUUAAGCAAAUCAUGUGGAAAAGUGAAUUUCCUUUCCAAGCAUAUUCCAAAUUGAUAAAAAAUGAUUUUUGGAUUAUAUUCUCUUGGUUUAUCUUUGUCCCUUUUUAUUUUGUUAUUGCAGAAAUCACAAAGCAGACUGGGGAUUAGAAACAACAAGGAAAUAGGGAUAAAGAGUGUCCCUUAAAAAAGUGGUGGCGGAGGCUCUUUGUUGUACAUUAUGAUGCAUGAGCUGGGGUGAGGCAGAUUUCUAGUUUUGGUUGUGGUGUUUGGCCCAGCCACCUUCUUUUGGACGAAAGCCACUAAAAACAUGAAACAUUGACCUCCUGUCCUACUCUAGUCUCUCACAUCUGUCUGAAGAUCUGGAUAAUUGGUGGGUGUGGAAAGAAAGCCAUGGAGGACUUAUAUCCAUCUGGAGAGUGGAAAGAACUCUGCAAGCAGGGAAAUCACAGAAUAGAAGAAGAAAAAAUUAAAAGACAUCAUUGGAACUUACAGAAGAAGGGCCAUGUGAAGACACAAAGAGAAGAUUGCCAUGUACAAACCAAGGAGACAGGACUCUGAAGAAACCAAAACUGCCAAUGACUUGAUCUUGGGCUUCUAGCCUUCAGAACCGUGAUAAAUAUUUUUGUUUAAGCCAGAAAUAAAAAGACAUAAUUGAUUUUUUUAAAAAGCCA
RNAcentral lists this long non-coding RNA (1056 nucleotides) under Felis catus (domestic cat). RNAcentral describes it as "lncRNA (ENSFCAG00000049635.1)". Lineage: Eukaryota; Metazoa; Chordata; Mammalia; Carnivora; Felidae. The record is from RNAcentral.